UACGUAGGGUGCGAGCGUUGUCCGGAAUUAUUGGGCGUAAGGAGCUCGUAGGCGGUUUGUCGCGUCGAAUGUGAAAACCCGGGGCUCAACCCCGGGCCUGCAUUCGAUACGGGCAGACUAGAGUUCGGUAGGGGAGUCUGGAAUUCCCGGUGUAGCGGUGAAAUGCGCAGAUAUCAGGAGGAACACCGGUGGCGAAGGCGGGACUCUGGGCCGAUACUGACGCUGAGGAGCGAAAGCGUGGGGAGCAAACAGG
Molecule: ribosomal RNA, 253 nt
Filed under: uncultured bacterium
Lineage: Bacteria
Description: partial 16S ribosomal RNA
Rfam family: Bacterial small subunit ribosomal RNA
Source: RNAcentral